AUGAUCCUGUGGCUGAAUUUGGUUUCCUUCCUAGCAGUCCUCAGAGGUGUCCUGUCAGAGGCCCAGUUGGUGGAGUCCGGAGGGGACGUGAGAAGGCCUGGAGAGUCCCUCCGUCUCUCCUGCCAAGGCUCUGGGUUCGACUUCGGGAGCUAUGCCAUGUACUGGGUGAGACAGGCCCCUGGGAAAGGGCUGGAAUGGGUGGCAUCCAUAAGCUACAAUUCAGGUACCAUUUACUAUUCGGACAAAGUGAAGGGACGCUUCACCAUCUCCAGGGACAACUCCAAAAGCCAAGUCUAUCUGCAAAUGAACAGCCUGAAACUGGAGGACACGGCAGUCUAUUACUGUGCGAGGGACACAGUGGGAGGAAGUGAGUCUGAAGCCUGGCAAAAACCU
Molecule: non-coding RNA, 393 nt
Organism: Candoia aspera
Lineage: Eukaryota; Metazoa; Chordata; Lepidosauria; Squamata; Candoiidae
Source: the annotation of a RefSeq genome assembly